This 2760-nucleotide long non-coding RNA is filed under the name Sorghum bicolor (sorghum). Its description in RNAcentral is "long non-coding RNA (SBIC_LNC008477)". The record is from RNAcentral. Lineage: Eukaryota; Viridiplantae; Streptophyta; Magnoliopsida; Poales; Poaceae.
GGUGUUGGUUGCAUUUGGAUCCUUUUCUUUAUUUAUUUGUUGAUUAUAUUUGGUACUUAAGGACCGUCAACAACUCCCCCAAGCUUACCUCUUGCUCGUCCCUGAGCAAGGAUGGACUCAAGAGUUUCUGCAGUGGUUUCAUGCCUUAAAGGUACACAUGCGUUUAAACAAGAUCUCAUCUUUGGGCUAGGGUAAACUAUUAAGAUUUAAAACAUACUCAUUUUACCUUUCACCAUGGGGCUUGUAACCGUCACUUGAAUCUUGAGCAGUUAAAAGAUAGAACGGUCAAGUCAAGCGCCAUUUCUCUUGUUCUUUGAUCAACUAUAGCUCUAGAGUUUUUGCAGAUUUUCAAAAAAAACUCAGAGAUUCCUUGUAUGACUCUCUCAAUUCUCUCUUUUGUGGUAUUUCUAGAUCCUUACUAAGGCAGUGAUGGCAUAUGCCUUCCCUCAAAGCAUGUGGUAUUUGUAGUAUGAGGCAUAGUGAUAUUGCCUUCUCUCUCAUCCUACUCUAAUAAGGCUUUGAUAUCUGGAGCUCAUAGGUGGGAGAUAAAGUAUACAUACUUACAAGACAUUUAUUGCAUAGUCAAACCAUGGAUCCAGAAGAAGUCAAUAAGUCAAAUCAAGAUGUGCUUGUGUGGCGAAUGAAUGGUGUAUGGUGAUGAUGGUGAUAACAAUGAUGAAAGCCUAAUUCUACUUUUGCUCUUUUGAGGGGAUACAUACCUUCCUUGCUUUCUAAAACUUUAUGAGGAGAAUGAGAUGCUCUUCUUUUUCUUUUUCUUUCCUCUCAGGUGGGUAUCUUGUACCCCAAAUUAUACUGUCGGACACUUGUCCAUUUUUUCCUCUCGUCUCACUUUUUCUUUUCUUUCGAGGUUCCGGGCACUUGCCGCUUUUUAUUUCCUCGUAUCUCUUUUUUUUAUUUUAGAGCACUCAUCUCUUGAGAUAAUAUAGCAAGUGGUAGUAACUAGAUAACUUGAGCAUUUAUUUCACAAGGGAAAAACAGAAAUAUUUUUGGCUAUUCUCUCCCGGAUGAGGAGUAGAAUAUUUUUGGGUGGUUCUGGAGAUGGAAAUGAGUGGAUAUAUGUGGUGAAAGUCUAAUUCUACUUUUGCUCUUUUGAGGGGAUACAUACCUUUCUUGCACUUUGAAGCUUUUUGAGGGGAACGAGAUGCUCUAUAUUUUCUUUUUCUUUUCUCUCAGGUGGGUGUCUUGUACCCCUAAUUCUAUUGUCGGACACUUGUCCAUUUUUUACCUCUUGUCACACAUUUUCUUUUCUUCGAGGUUUCGGGCACUUGCCUCUUUUUAUUUCCUCGUAUUUUUCUUUUUCUUCUUUUUUUAGAGCACUCACCCUCCUAGAAUAAUGUAGCAAGUGGUAGUAACCAAAAUAUCUCGAGCAUUUAUUUCACACGGAAAAACACGAAUGGGAUAAUGUUUUUGGCUAUUCUCUCCCGGAUAGGAGUAGAAUAAUUUUGGGUGAAUCUAGUCCUUAGGAGUGCCUCAGGGUCGGAGAUGUAGUUUUUCGGCAAAGAGAAACCAGGCAUACACUAUUCCUCCUGUUUCAUCCACAACAGGGAGAAAAUAGGCAGAGUUAUCCUACAUAACAAUUGACUCAUUACGCACAUCAGAUUACUUGAUUAUAUUAAUCUAGAAUCAUUUUCAUAUUAGCCUUCCCCGGCAACGGUGCCAGAAAUGCUUGUUGGCAUUUCUUAACGUCAUCACUAAGAACAGGGUUUAAUCCGUCCUUAGCAACGAUGUCAGAAAUGUCGUGAUAACACUUACUAAUGCAAUCACCAAGAUUAGAGUAUAAAUCUAUCCUAAGCAACGGUGCCAGAAAUGCUUGUUAGCGUUUCUUAGCGUCACUACCCAGAAUAGGGUUCUGCUCUACUCAUGAUAAUGACAUUGGCAGUGUUAUAUUGGCAGAUCCGUAGCAUCACCACCUUGAAUAGGAAACUAGAUCAACCUUCCCGAUAACGGCGCCUUAUUACCGUUAGGGUUGGGUUCCAGUUCUUAAUCAUGGCAGUGGCACUAGGAUUGCCAUGUUGGUAUUCCUUAACAAGUCACUACCUCAGCGCAUGUCUAGCAACAGUGUUAAGUAUAUACCGGGGUGAUAGUUCCUUAGGUUUGGAGUUCAAGUACCGCAAGCAGACGGGAAUUAUCGUGUAGCAUUUCAACCCGGGGAUUUACCGAGUGUCGUAUUUAUAGGUUCGCUCUAAGGAAGGCUUAAUAUGUUAAGGAUUCUAAGAUAAGCAUAGAUCAAAAUAAUUAUGAUAGCAAUAAUGGAAUCAAAGGUCAUAGCAGGUGAUAAACAUUUAUAUGUAGAAUAGUGAUCCAUCACAAUAUAGGCAUGGCAUAUGGGCUAAGGAAUAAAAAGAGACUAAAAGAAUGAAUUGAAUCAAAGAAUAAACAAACAACCUAUUGGAGCAGGUGUGGUCCUAGAUACAGAUCAUGUCAUAGAACAAGUUAAUCAUGUAAUUAUACUACUUAGAUAUAGUCCUAUGUUUAGAUGGUUUGGGAGGUUACGCGAGUACUGGUCUGCCAGCAACCUCCGCAACUAUUUAGACUCCUACACCACCUGCCACCAUCCCCUCAACCGUGGACUAGGACAAUGCAUUUACCCGGCCUUUACACCCAAGCACCAUGCUUACAUGCAAAGAACCUACUCGGACUCCCCCGGGUCCCCGACCCUACGGAUCGACCGGUAAUAAGCCCAAGCCUAAUCAAAAGAGCAUGAUAAACCCCCAUCUUCACACAAAGCUAUUUCUAGGC